GAUGAACGCUGGCGGCGUGCCUAAUACAUGCAAGUCGAGCGAACAGACGAGGAGCUUGCUCCUCUGACGUUAGCGGCGGACGGGUGAGUAACACGUGGAUAACCUACCUAUAAGACUGGGAUAACUUCGGGAAACCGGAGCUAAUACCGGAUAAUAUAUUGAACCGCAUGGUUCAAUAGUGAAAGACGGUUUUGCUGUCACUUAUAGAUGGAUCCGCGCCGCAUUAGCUAGUUGGUAAGGUAACGGCUUACCAAGGCAACGAUGCGUAGCCGACCUGAGAGGGUGAUCGGCCACACUGGAACGGAGACACGGUCCAGACUCCUACGGGAGGCAGCAGUAGGGAAUCUUCCGCAAUGGGCGAAAGCCUGACGGAGCAACGCCGCGUGAGUGAUGAAGGUCUUCGGAUCGUAAAACUCUGUUAUUAGGGAAGAACAAAUGUGUAAGUAACUAUGCACGCCUUGACGGUACCUAAUCAGAAAGCCACGGCUAACUACGUG
Molecule: ribosomal RNA, 497 nt
Filed under: uncultured bacterium
Lineage: Bacteria
Description: partial 16S ribosomal RNA
Rfam family: Bacterial small subunit ribosomal RNA
Source: RNAcentral